UACGGAGGGUGCAAGCGUUAUCCGGAUUCACUGGGUUUAAAGGGUGCGUAGGUGGAGUGGUAAGUCAGUGGUGAAACCUCCAAGCUUAACUUGGAAACUGCCGUUGAUACUAUCAUUCUUGAAUAUCGUGGAGGUAAGCGGAAUAUGUCAUGUAGCGGUGAAAUGCUUAGAUAUGACAUAGAACACCGAUUGCGAAGGCAGCUUGCUACACGAUCAUUGACACUGAGGCACGAAAGCGUGGGGAUCAAACAGG
This 253-nucleotide ribosomal RNA is filed under the name uncultured bacterium. Its description in RNAcentral is "partial 16S ribosomal RNA". It matches the Rfam family "Bacterial small subunit ribosomal RNA", at positions 524 to 776 of the family's 1533-position model. The record is from RNAcentral.